UGGGCAGAACGCAAAUGGCCAGCGGAACGACUGAUAAUCGUUUGUUAGAAGGUUCGAUUCCUUCCUGCCCAA
This 72-nucleotide transfer RNA is filed under the name Desulfobulbaceae bacterium. Its description in RNAcentral is "tRNA-Ile". It matches the Rfam family "tRNA". Rfam says of the family: Transfer RNA (tRNA) molecules are approximately 80 nucleotides in length. Their secondary structure includes four short double-helical elements and three loops (D, anti-codon, and T loops). The record is from RNAcentral. Lineage: Bacteria; Pseudomonadati; Thermodesulfobacteriota; Desulfobulbia; Desulfobulbales; Desulfobulbaceae.